UCUGGCGCGGCCAGAGCCCGCAAUAGGCGGAAGUGGUCCGUCUGGAAGCUCAUCCUGAUUGGCUGUCUGCGGGGGUGGGGACCUGCAAUUCAUUCACUCGAGUAGCACGUGUCUCUUCAAACCGCAACCAUAACAGAUGCACGGGGGUUGGAGCGGUGCUGCCAGAUGCACGUACUCUUUAGCAGAUACAGAAGAGGUCGCAGGAGAAACGUUAGCUAAGGGCACGAGGAAUUAGAGAGCGCCGGUACCACUUGGGGUUGUGUGUCUGCGUCCUUUUGAAGCUGUGUGAAUGGGGAUGGUGGUCAGGAGCCCGCCUCUGAGUGACCUUGGAGCAUCAGCUUCACGUCUCUGAGCUCAGUGGCCUGAUCGGCAAAACCGGGCUGCUCAGAACCUUAAAGAUUUUCUUUCUAGAGGGUUCGGUUCAGCUAACGAAAGGGAGUCACCAAAGCAACUCUGAAGUCCUGCCUUCCAGUGAUAGGAGACCAGACAGUAAACAAAUAAGUCCUCCAUCAUCAUUGAUCAGGCCAAGAAGAAAAAAAUAGACCAGUUCCUAACAGGACAAUCAGGAAUUAUGAGAACAUGGCGUUAAACAAUAAUUGCUUACUAACCUCCAACUCUGCUGGGAAGAACUUGCCACUGGGCUAAGUGACACAGAUAAUGUAACACCGGACUUGGAAGACUGAAGCAGGAGGAUUUCGAGUUCAAGGUCCUCGGGGAAUCCAGGCCACACUACUGGGUCUCUGGGGAUUGUUUCCAUCCGUCAGUCCUGCUAAGCCAUGCUGAGCCAUCGUGGAAGUGAGGGAAGGUGGCCCUCUGGAAAUCACUUGAAUCCACAGCAGUGUCCUACCAGUCCAUGACCAAGCAGACAUGGGUCGAAGUUCCCACCUGCUCUACAAGUUUGGAUCAUUGGUGCGAUGUGCAAACCGUGCAGCUGUGCAAAGCUACCCUGUGCCCUGGAUAUAGUUUUUGGGUUGGAGGCAACAUAAAUAUCAACACACCCCCCCUAUUGUGGGUUUUAGGUUCCCUUGAUCCUGUUGCUCAUCCCCCUCCCCCACUCAGUCUUUUAAGCCUCUGCCUGCUCUGGCUAUUUGGUAUGAACAGUUCCAUCUCCACAAGUUCUUCCAACCCUUCACCAGCACUGGGGAGCCUUGAGAUACAUCUUCUCCAUACCGCUUGGUCACAGAGUACUCUGCCAGUACAGGGAUCCUCUCCUUCUUUCCUCUGAAUAAAUGGCCCCCAACAAGCAAAGGGAUGGAUGGUUACCUCCAAAGAGCCUCCCAAUCUCAUUAGUGUGACCAUAAAAUCCCUUUAGCCACAGUGCAUAUGAAAUUUCUGCCCUGUCAAAUUGCUCUUUCAGUGCCCACAAGCCCAAGUACACAAAGCCUGUGACCGUAGCCAAGUCACUGCCCACAGGUUGAGACCAGAAGAGGGAUGAAUCUCCAACCCACUCAGAGCCACAGAUCCUCUGGUUAAUCUGGUAACCUUAUCAAGUAUGAAGGGAUGCUGCGCCCAUUUGACAGGUGUAGAUACUGAGGCCCCCAGAACUGAAGUGGCCUCUGAUCCCACAGCCUGGGACACCCUGGCUGUGCUUUUUUAUAUUCUGCUGGUCACCUUGGGUCAGCUGGGAAAACCCUAGGCAAGAAAGAAUAGACUUCGGAUGUCAAACAAAGGGCUUUGUUCUACAUUUGCGUUUUAAGGACAUUCUAAGUCUUGAAGCUAGAAGGACUUUGAACAAUGUGUUUCCAAGAUCUCCCAUAAGAUAAGGAAUGCCUGGGACCUGGUUGUACAAAUAGCUUCUCAGGCCUUUGCACAGACCUGUUUCUGCAGUGGGCUUACAAUGGGGUGCACGCUUGUGCUUGUUAACAAAGGGAAUUUGCGCACCCAGAUGAGGAAAAAGCUCAGGAGGCGAGACAAAGCCACAUCAACCCUGCAUAUCUGAACAAGUUGUGUUCUUGGCUCUGUAAAUUAAGCUCACCUCCCAUACAGGAAGCCUUAAGCACUGAGCGUUCUUCUGCUCCCUGGAGCUCUUACGGUAGUUUUGUCAGCAACUGUGUGGUUUACUAUUCACUCUGAUUCGCCUAUGUGAGAAGAUGGAGGGCUGUGGAGAGGCUUGCUGGGUAAAGGCACUCUUGUCACCAAGUGACAAGGUUGAAUUAAGUGAACCUAAGAACCAUGCAAGCGUCUCUGUGAGUGUAAAAACCAAGAGAAUAGACCAGUUAUCUGAACUAAGAAAACUAGAAGCCUGGCUGGAAGGGUGGCUUAAGUCUGUAACCCUACCCCUCAGGAGGCUAAGUCAGGCGUGGCCACAGUUAUGUGACCUAGUUAUGUGAAAUCUCUUCCUGGGAGGCAGCUUCCUCCUCUGGCUAGUUCCUGGCCUUCCACCUUUCCUUCUGCCCAGUGUGAAAUUCCUGGGAAAACGUUGGGGGACUUUUCUUUCUAUCUUUCCUUUCAAUCUUCCUUUCUUUUCUUUUUUUUCUUUUACUUUUUUGAGAUAGGGGUGAAGAAAUUGGGGUGGGGGUUGUCCUCUGUGAGUAGCCCUGGCUACCCUGAAACUGUAGACCAGUUGAGGCGGCCUCAAACUCACAGAGAUCUGCCUGCCUCUGCCUCCCAAGUGUGCCACCACUCGUCUGCCCCCAGCUAGGGGCCUGUUAUUUCAAUAAGUUGGUAGCACAGGCGUCUCUCUAGAAUUGUUUCCUGUCCUUCAAGGAUGGUUACAGGAGGAACUGGGCAAGUCUGAAGCCAACUAAGGCUACACACUUGUUUCAGAGCAGCCUGGGCAACCAAAAGGACCAAGGCCCUGGACUUAGGCUGUGCCAUGUGUUUGGAAUGCUGCACCUCUGCCAUGGACCCAAACAUGUCCCCAGUGACCCCAAGCUCCUGAUGUUCAUCACCUCUGUCCUAGUUUGCUUUCCGUUGCUGUGACAAACACCAUGACCAACGCAACUUGAGGAGAAAUGGUUUAUUUGACUUAAACAUCCUGAUUCCAGCCUGAAGGGAAGUCAGGGCAGGAACUCAAGCAGAGACCAUGAAAGAACGCUGUUAAUCAGCUUGAUCUUCAUAACUCACUCUGCCUGCCUUUUACCCAGUCCUCACUACCUGUCCUGGGGUGACACCACACACAGUGGGCUAUGCCCUCCCACAUUAGUGAAUAAACAAGACAAUGCCCUUGCACACUUGCCCACAGGCCAAUCGGAUGGAAGUAUUUUUGUAGUUGAGGUUUCCUCUUCCUAGAUGAGUCUAGCUAGGGUCAAGUUGACUGAAAACCUAAAACAACCCCCCCCAAAAACCAGAACCCCAAAACUAGUCACUGAGUAUAUCAAUCACUCCAAGGCAAGCCAAGGCCAGGAGUAGGUGGCCAAAACAAAACGGACUCUGUGGGGUUUUUUGUACACUUUCUGUUUUAUAUUA
This 3408-nucleotide long non-coding RNA is filed under the name Rattus norvegicus (Norway rat). Its description in RNAcentral is "long non-coding RNA NONRATT031580". The record is from RNAcentral. Lineage: Eukaryota; Metazoa; Chordata; Mammalia; Rodentia; Muridae.